Long non-coding RNA from Chelonia mydas (Green sea turtle), 557 nucleotides. RefSeq lists it as uncharacterized. The transcript has 2 exons. NCBI's taxonomy places the organism in Eukaryota, Metazoa, Chordata, Testudines, Cheloniidae. The record is from RefSeq and is a predicted model, not a curated record.
UCUCGACCGCUUUUUGCCUUUGCCUACCCUCCGUGACAGUUACCGCGGUGGAAGUAGCUCUAGAGUCUCCCAUCCUCGCCCCGCCCCCCACUAGCCGCCAUGACAGUUACUGUGGCAAAAGCAGGUUUCAGAGGAGCAGCCCUGUUAGUCCGUAUUCGCAAAAAGAAAAGGAGUCCUUGUAGGAUCGUGUGGGAUGUAGGACAGAGGGGGGCAAACUACGGCCCGCGGGCCACAUCCGGCCCCUGAGCGCCUGGCAGGGGAGGCUAGUCCCCGGCCCCUCCCCCGCAGUAACGCCCCCGCGCGGGCAGCAGGGCUGCGCGCUCCUGCCGCUUUGAGCCGCAUGAAGCCGAGAGAACAGACAGAAAAGGCAAGGAGACAGCAGAACACGCAUUAGGAGCCUGGCCCCGAGUAAAAGCCUACAGAGAGAAGAGAGAUUUUUGGGCUGACUGGCUGGAAAAAGGCUUGGAACUAUGAGCAAAGAAACUGCAUCCUGCUGUUUGAUUCAGGGAAACAGGACUUUGUACUUUCUUUGUAAAUAAACAGGAUUGCAUCAAAGA